This 472-nucleotide ribosomal RNA is filed under the name Streptococcus anginosus. RNAcentral describes it as "bacterial SSU rRNA". It matches the Rfam family "Bacterial small subunit ribosomal RNA", at positions 28 to 474 of the family's 1533-position model. Lineage: Bacteria; Bacillati; Bacillota; Bacilli; Lactobacillales; Streptococcaceae. The record is from RNAcentral.
GACGAACGCUGGCGGCGAGCCUAAUACAUGCAAGUAGGACGCACAGUUUAUACCGUAGCUUGCUACACCAUAGACUGUGAGUUGCGAACGGGUGAGUAACGCGUAGGUAACCUACCUAUUAGAGGGGGAUAACUAUUGGAAACGAUAGCUAAUACCGCAUAACAGUAUGUAACACAUGUUAGAUGCUUGAAAGAUGCAAUUGCAUCGCUAGUAGAUGGACCUGCGUUGUAUUAGCUAGUAGGUAGGGUAAAGGCCUACCUAGGCAACGAUACAUAGCCGACCUGAGAGGGUGAUCGGCCACACUGGGACUGAGACACGGCCCAGGCUCCUACGGGAGGCAGCAGUAGGGAAUCUUCGGCAAUGGGGGGAACCCUGACCGAGCAACGCCGCGUGAGUGAAGAAGGUUUUCGGAUCGUAAAGCUCUGUUGUUAAGGAAGAACGAGUGUGAGAAUGGAAAGUUCAUGCUGUGACG